CCCUAGCUUUUAACCAUGUGCAUAUUUGGUUGCAUGUUAUUUCUGCUGCACUUUUAUUUUGUAAUUACAUAUCUUUAAAUACAAAAUAAAAAAGAAUGCACUUCCGGGUAGGAGCGGAAGUACGCUUCUUCAUUCAGAGCUCUGGCGUUUGUGCGCUUUUUUUUGAGGCGCUACAGCCGCUUUUCUCCCGUUUGUACUCUUCUUUAUUCCGCGGAGCAUCAACUCCGGACUUGUUUUGUGAAUAUAUUCUUUUUUUUUACAGCUUCAUCGCCAUUAGUUUUAAAAAAUGUCCCGAAGGCGACACAGCGACGAGAAUGAGGGAGGUCAGCCCCAUAAAAGGAGGAGAACAUCGGAGCCCAUAGAGAUUGAAGACCGCCUGGAGUCCCUCAUAUGUCGGGUUGGGGAGAAGAGCACGUCCUCCUUGGAAAGCAACCUGGAGGGCCUGGCUGGAGUGUUGGAGGCAGACCUUCCCAACUACAAAAACAAGAUCCUGCGGAUUCUGUGUUCUGUGGCCCGGCUGCUUCCCGAGAAGCUGACGGUCUACACCACGCUGGUCGGACUCCUCAAUGCACGCAACUACAACUUCGGCGGAGAGUUUGUGGAAGCCAUGAUCCGGCAACUUAAAGAGACUCUUAAGAACAACCUGUACAUCGAGGCCGUUUACCUGGUGCGUUUCCUGUCUGAUCUGGUCAACUGCCACAACUUUGUCAGUGUGACGCAGGAAGAGGAUGUGCCACAGGUGCGCUCGGACUGGUUUGUGUACGUGGUGCUGUCCUGUCUCCCCUGGGUGGGCAAAGAACUGUACGAGAAGAAGGACGUGGAGAUGGACCGGCUCCUCAGUCAGAUUGAAGGUUACCUCAAGAGGCGAGUGAAGACACACUUGCCCAUGCUACAGGUGUGGUCAGCGGAGAAGCCCCACCCACAGGAGGAGUACCUGGACUGCCUGUGGGCUCAGAUCCAGAAGCUGAAAAAGGAUCGGUGGCAGGAGCGGCACAUCCUCCGUCCCUACAUCGCCUUCGACAGCGUCCUGUGUGAGGCGCUGCAGCACAACCUGCCCCCAUUCACCCCCCCGGGACACAUGCCCGACGCACACUACCCCAUGCCCCGGGUCAUCUUCCGCAUGUUCGACUACACAGACGCCCCGGAGGGCCCAGUGAUGCCUGGGAGCCAUUCAGUGGAGAGGUUCGUCAUAGAAGAGAAUCUCAACUGUAUCAUCAAGACCCACUGGAAAGAGCGCAAGACAUGUGCAGCCCAGUUACUCAGUUAUCCAGGCAAAAGCAAGAUCCCCCUCAACUAUCACAUUGUGGAGGUGAUAUUUGGCCAACUGUUCCAGCUGCCCGUUCCUCCGCACUUAGACGUCAUGUACACCACGCUGCUCAUUGAACUGUGCAAACUACAGCCUGGCUCUCUGCCACAGGUCCUGGCCCAGGCCACAGAGAUGCUGUACAUGAGGCUGGACACCAUGAACACCACCUGUAUAGACCGGUGA
This 1489-nucleotide long non-coding RNA is filed under the name Neogobius melanostomus (round goby). Its description in RNAcentral is "lncRNA (ENSNMLG00000001308.1)". The record is from RNAcentral. Lineage: Eukaryota; Metazoa; Chordata; Actinopteri; Gobiiformes; Gobiidae.